GAUGAACGCUGGCGGCGUGCCUAAUACAUGCAAGUCGAGCGAACGGACGAGAAGCUUGCUUCUCUGAUGUUAGCGGCGGACGGGUGAGUAACACGUGGAUAACCUACCUAUAAGACUGGGAUAACUUCGGGAAACCGGAGCUAAUACCGGAUAAUAUUUUGAACCGCAUGGUUCAAAAGUGAAAGACGGUCUUGCUGUCACUUAUAGAUGGAUCCGCGCUGCAUUAGCUAGUUGGUAAGGUAACGGCUUACCAAGGCAACGAUGCAUAGCCGACCUGAGAGGGUGAUCGGCCACACUGGACCUGAGCCACGGUCCAGACUCCUACGGUAGGCAGCAGUAGGGAAUCUUCCGCGAAGGGCGAAAGCCUGACGGAGCAACGCCGCGUGAGUGAUGAAGGUCUUCGGAUCGUAAAACUCUGUUAUUAGGGAAGAACAUAUGUGUAAGUAACUGUGCACAUCUUGACGGUACCUAAUCAGAAAGCCACGGCUAACUACGUG
Molecule: ribosomal RNA, 497 nt
Filed under: uncultured bacterium
Lineage: Bacteria
Description: partial 16S ribosomal RNA
Rfam family: Bacterial small subunit ribosomal RNA
Source: RNAcentral